CAGCAGCAGCAGUUGUAUUAGUAGUUGUAGUAGUAAUAGUAAUAGCAGUAGUAAAUAUGUAUGAGCAGUAGCGGCUGCUGUUUUAGCAGCAUUGAAAUAAUUAUUGGUUUUUGUACCGGCACCAAUAGGACUACUACCAGCACAGCAGCACCAUUAUAAUCUUAAUAGACCACAGGCAGCGCUCUGGACUGUUGUUGUCACCACCACCACCACCACCAACACCACUACCACGGUCAUUCUGUCCAAAAUCUCACGGAUUUUCCACCCUGACCCUGACCCCCCACCCCUUCCCAGUCAAAGAAGACCAGUUGGUAAUUACAUACAUACACACAUUUUAUAUAUAUAUAUAUACAUAUAUAUAUAUAUAUAUAUAUGUAUAUGUAUAUGUGUGUGUGUGUGUGUACUUCAUUCCCAAAAAUAAACCCGAAGUUAAAACUCCAUAAUCAUAUAACCCAAACCAAACUACCCGACUAAACUAACUAAACAAGCAAGCACCAACCAACCACACAUACACACACACCCACACCAAACUACCCCUACCAUAAGUUCGUUACCAUUAUUUCUUUCGAUCUGAGCCCCCCAUCAAAGCCAUAACAGUUCUCUCUCACUCUCUUUCUCUCUCCUUAUUUCCUGUUUUCAAUUUUUACAACAAUAUGGACUUCGUUUCGAAUGUCAACAACCUUUCAUAAAGGAGUAACUGCAACCAUGCGCGAUGGAGACUUCUGCGCCAGAAAGUGGGUACAGUGGAGACCCAAAUGUACUGUUUGACCAGUUUGUGAAUGCAGGGACAUGUAAAUCUAUCUUACAUACAUUCCAACUACUCUGCGAUUCCUUGGAGAUUAAACAGACGGAUCACCGACAUUUCUAUCGAAGGUUGAAAUUGAGAUUGACAUCAUGGAAAGCUCAGUCACUGUGGGCCAAGCUGGACAAAAGAGCAAGCCACAAGGAAUACAGAAAAGGCGAAGCUUGCGUAAAUACCAAGGUACUCAUCAUUGGUUCAGGACCAUGUGGUUUGAGGACAGCAAUAGAGAUUGCUCUGUUGGGUGGGAAGGCCGUGGUGUUAGAGAAGCGAGAUAGUUUUUCUCGUAACAAUGUUCUACAUCUUUGGCCAUUCCUGAUAACUGACCUGAAGAAUUUUGGUGCCAAGAAGUUCUUUGGGAAAUUCUGUGCUGGUUCCAUUGAUCAUAUAAGUAUCCGUCAACUUCAGUGCAUUCUGUUAAAAGUUGCUCUUAUUUUUGGUGUGGAGGUGCACUACAAUGUAUCGUUUGAGAAUCUUUUAGAACCCCCGGCUGAUCAAAGCAAAGAAAAAAUUGGAUGGCGUGCACUGGUUAUUCCGGCAAACCAUCCUGUAUCAGAAUAUCAAUUUGAUGUUCUUAUUGGUGCUGAUGGCAAAAGAAACACAUUGGAAGGGUUUCAGAGGAAAGAAUUCCGAGGCAAACUGGCCAUUGCUGUGACAGCAAACUUCAUCAACCGAAACACACAAGCUGAGGCUCGAGUAGAGGAAAUCAGUGGAGUUGCAUUUAUUUACAAUCAAAAGUUCUUUCAUCAGCUUAAGGAAAAGACUGGUAUUGACCUUGAGAACAUCGUCUACUAUAAAGACGCCACACAUUAUUUUGUAAUGACAGCGAAGAAACAGAGCCUGCUUGAUAAAGGCGUUUUGAAGCAUGAUUAUUCUGACACUGGUUCACUCUUGUCACGGUCCAACGUUGACCAAGAAGCAUUAUUAACUUAUGCCAGAGAAGCAGCUGAUUUUUCUACAAACCACCAGCUGCCUCACAUGGAUUAUGCGGUCAACCACUAUGGGCAAGCAGAUGUGGCCAUGUUCGAUUUUACUUCCCUUUUUCAAGCAGAGAACGCAUGUCGUGUUUUAAGUAAACAUAAUCAUAGAAUGAUUAUGGCGUUAGUGGGAGAUAGUUUAUUGGAGCCUUUCUGGCCGACUGGAUCUGGUUGUGCACGUGGAUUUCUUAGUGCCCUCGAUUCAGCUUGGAUGAUACGAAGCUGGGCAGGAGGCAAGUUGACUCCACUGCAAGUAAUAGCUGAGCGCGAGAGCAUCUACCGAUUACUCUCUCAGACAAAGCCAGAGAAUAUCAACAAGAACUAUAAUUUAUACACAAUUGACCCCAACACUAGGUACCCCAAUCUAAAUUCAAAUUAUUUUAGAUCUGAACAAGUUCGUCCAUUGUAUAUAUGUGAUGAGGAAGAUGAAUAUCUAAAGAAUGAAAUAAACGAGCUUCCACUCAAGAAGCCGCGAAAUGAUGAUUUUAUUGACAGCUACACAUUGCUACGAUGGUGCCAGCGUGUACUCAACACUGGUAGACACCAGUCUGUAAAUAUUAUAGAUUUUACUUCCUCUUGGAAGUCUGGGUUGGCACUGUGUGCCCUUAUACAUACAUUCAGACCUGAUCUCAUUGAUUUUAAUAGCCUCAACAAAUCCGAGGUGGUAAAGAACAAUCAGCUUGCUUUUGAUUUAGCCGAAAAAGAAUUUGGUAUCUCACCUGUGAUGACUGGGCAAGAGAUGGCCGAGUGUGAUGAGCCUGACAAACUUGCCAUGGUUUCCUAUCUCUCUCAGUUCUAUGUUAUUUUCAAGAAAGAAAAACAUCCAAAAUUGGAAAAUAUUGCUCUCACUCCAGAAGAAGGACCGAAACCAUACAGAUCUCCAUCUCAUCGUUUGUCCCUUCUGCAGAAGAUAAGCAACCGCUUCUCUAAACACAAAAGACUCAGCCGAAGUCGAGAAGACGAGCAUUUAACCUUUGGCAGUGCACAUGCCACUGGCGAACUGAAAGAGAAUCGGGCCCCUGUUGAGUUAAAAAGCUAUUCAAAACUUCCUAUUAAUGAAAUAAGCAACCGAUUAACAUCAAAUUGGAGAUUUGAAGACAUGAAAAAGGAUAGGAGAGAAGUCCAGAGCAAAGUGAAUGUUAGUGCCAUGGCUGAGAUUCUAGCUUCCAAGUUCAAAGCUGACUUACAACCACCCCCACCUGCAAUAAAAAGAAUUACAUCCAAUCCCACACUUCUAGCUGCUCAACCUGCAAGUGAAUAUUGCUAUUUUUGUAAAAGAAGAGUGUAUAUAAUGGAGCGAAUGAGUGCUGAAGGUCUAUUUUUCCACCGUGGCUGUUUACGUUGUGAACAUUGCAAGACCAACUUACGACUAAGCAAUUACUCAUGUGAUAGAACCAUCACAGGAGAAGUGAGGUUUUACUGCUUCCGUCAUGUUGGAAUGAUGAGACAGAGAAGAAAGCGCAGUUUAACGGAAGAACCCACAAAGGAUGAACAAGAUCUGACACCAGGCACAUCACCACCUCGUAUACCACCUUUGGCAGAAACUUACAAGAACACACCAAGCACGUCACCAUCAAUUAAAAAGAAAGGUGCUCCCAAAGUCAAAGACGAUUCUCGAUUGAAUCUGAAGAAUACGCCUGAAAGAGUAGAAUUUGAGAACUAUAUCGAAGGUGUAUCAGAGGAGACUGAAGAAGAACAGUUUGAACACAAUUUGAGACCCUCAUUAUCAUCUCAAGAACUUCUGGAAGCAAGUGACGAAGAAGAGAAUUCAAGUGAUUCUGAUGAAGAACUUUCCGAUCUGGAGCUGUCGGACUUUCUGUCCCAGUGGACUAGUGAAGAUGACGCUGAUGUGGAAGACUUGGACGAUGAUGCCAGUCAUAUCCUUACUUGGGAAGAAGCCUGCCUGCUUGCUGAAACAUUGCAAGAGAGACAGGCUCGGGAGAGCAUCCCCAGCAAGUUAGCUGAUAAGUGCAGGCUUCAGCUAGAAGACACUGACAGCACAGAAGAAUCUAGUGAUGAUGAAACAGAGACAGAGAAAGGUUUUUCAUCUGAUGACGCUGAUGACACAAUGAAAGAUCAGACAACACCUGACACUGAAAAUAAAACACUAUUAGAUGAAAUGGCUGAUGCGAGGACAGAUCAGCGAUUAUCCAGAUUGCGACCUACAUCGAAAGUUGAGCCUUUAUCACCUCUUCGCUCUCCGACUAGUCCCGCUAGUCAAAUGGAAGCAAGAGCCAAAUUUUUUGCAUCACCCCCAGAGCCAGUUCGACUCGAUGCCAAACUGCUCUUUGGAAUCGACAAAUCUGAAAAAGCAGGUGAGAAGACGCCGACAUCGACUGAAAAUGUUAAUAAUGCUAAAGAUGAAGCUGUCACACCAAGCACUACUGAUGUUACCAUUGGUCAGGCAUCUGAUGCGGUGGUCACUAAAGUAGAAGAUUCUAAUUUGGAUAAAGAAGCUUUAAAAGAUGCCAUUGCCAAGUCUGAUAUUGCUGUGGAGGAAGAUUACUUUGAAGGAUCUGAAGAAAGUGAAACUGAAACUUUGGAAGAGGUAGCCUCUGAAGAAGCUGAUACCAAUGACGAAAUUGAUGAUAUCAUUGAGGAGAAUGUAGAUGACAGAGAGGCUGUCGGUCAAGCCAUGGAAGAAGUUCUAACAAGUCUUGAAAGAAGGUCUUCCAGUAGCGAGGAAGAGGGAGAAAUGACUCCUGCCAAAGCUUGGGAAGGCAUGCAAGACGAUGAUGACGUCUUCAUGAAAGAGAGCACCAAUAUUAGAGAUAGCACCUACAAUGGUGAACCCAUGGAAAAUGGCACCUAUGAAGACAAUGAAGUUGUUGCAAAUGGCACUUUUGCUAAUGAAGAUAUCUACAAAGGCAGAGCUGUUGAAGGUGAUGUCAUUAAAGGUGUUGCCAUUGUAAGAAAUACUGUGGAAGAUGAUAAUAUUGGUGAAAACAUUGAAGAUGACAACAUUGUGAAUGACACUGAGCAAAUUCUUGAAGCUGAUGUAAAAACCGAUGUGUUAGAGGAGAUGAAGGAGGAGGAAUUACAUCUAAAUAAUUCCAGUGAUGACGAAUCGAAGAGCACAGAGACAACAAACACAGAAAAAGCUGUUCUUCGAAGUGUUUCUGCCAUGUCUGAUGACACUAUUGUUGACUCAGAGGAUAGCACUCUGCAGUCUGUACUCCGUAGCUUAGAAAGAAUGGACGAGCCAUCAACGCCAGUUUUAGAAUCAGAGCCUUGGAACAAACUUGAUGAAAGAUUCAUUACCAAAAGAAAGAAGAAACCCAAAAAAGAUGAUGGUGGAUCUGGAUCAGACACCAGCUUUACACUAUCGACACCAAGUAAAUCAAUUCACUCUUCUUUAAGUUCUCUUAACGAUGCAUUGCAGUACAACAAACAAAUUCUGUCAGAAACUGCUGCCAAUAAUUCUGAUAAUGAACUCCUCAACGAGUUUCAGCAAGUUAUAGAAGAAAGACUCGAUGAGGUUAAUAACGAAGCUGAAAACAUUGCUGUUGAGGAGGCACCACAAGAGGAUGAUGUUACUUUGAUUGAAAACACAUUUUCUGAUCUUCCAGAAGAAUCGGUGAAGGCUGAGGAAGAAUUGCAGAAAAUCAAGGUAAUAGAUGUCUCUGUGGUGUCAAAAGAUGAAGAUAAAGUUACAGAACCAUUACAUGAAGAAAUGGAAGUUGAAGAAGCACCAAAGAAUCUCGAAAUGGAAUUGGAAGAAAUCUCUAAAUUCCCAGAAGAAAUUGUUGAACAGGAGGAGGACGUUAUUGUUAAUAAAAAUGUCAAUGCUAAUUUGGAAAUGGUUGAGAAUGAAAGCGAGCAAAUAUUAGCAGACCUUAACAAUGAGAAUCUUCCAGUGUCCUCAACUAGGAAUGAAGAUAUUACAGAGUUGUUGGACAAUGAAGUUCCCGAGAAAACCCCAAAUGAAAUAAUUAAUGAUCUAGACAAGAAAACAGCAAUUACUUCUUCACAUAAACUGCUAAAUAAAACUGAAAUUUAUGAGUCAAAAGAAACUGAAGAGGAGCCUUGUAGUCCUAGAGAGGAAAAAAUGGUACAUUCUGUAUCUGUAACUGAAAAGACCAAGCAGAGUAUUCCACAAUUGGCUUUCUCACCAAAAAAGAACAAAUUAGCUGAUAAAAAGCCUUUGUUGGUUGACAUUGCUGAUAGGCACCCUCUUUUUGCUAACAAGAAACCUACUGUGGAUACUCUGAGUAAGGUUGAUGUUGAAAGCAGUGCUGCUGCUAUACCUACAACUACUACUAUUACCAGUACACCUACUACAACUACAACUAGUGUUACUGCUGAUGAUAAUGAGGAUGCUGCUAAUACUCCAACAACACCUACUGAAGUUAAAUAUAGAAAUUCAAUACCCAUAAAACCGCCUCGGUCAGCUCGGCCUCUGACCACUGAAUUUGAUUCUCGACGUCCUCUCUCUGACCUUAUUUUAGAAAGCCAACCUAUAGCUAUUCCAUCUUCUGACAGAAUCCAGUCAAAUAAAACUAGUGCCAACAAACAAGUUACACGAGCUUCUUCACUUCCGAGGGAAAGUUAUAUGGAAAAAUAUCUUUCAAGUGUUGAUGUUGAAAUGAGAAAGAAACCUGAAUAUUUGUGGAAAGGUGAUAAUAAAGAUAAUUGGAAACGUUACUCGGAUUUGCCUGAGAACAACGGUAAUUAUGAUAUGACAGUUGUCAGUAAACAACUUCCUGACAAUAUCACCAGGAAAAAUUACUCUCAUUCAAAAAGCUUAGAUAGAAAUUUUGUUGCUGGAAGUCGGGAAUUAUCUCCAGCACCAAAAGCUACUUUAGAUGAAAGCCCAACUGAUUUAACACCUGUUCCAAAGCCUCGUCGUAUUUUACCAGAAGUUACUGAAUUAAAAAGAAGCCUUCCACCUUUGAAGCCACUAGCUCCUACUCCGGCUUCCAGAACCUCUUUAAAAGCUAAAUCUGCUGGGAGCACUCCAGUAAGCACAGCUACCAAAGAACCUGAAGAAAACAAAAAACAACCUUUUAUUCCAACUAAGUUAGAAGAAAAAAUGAAACCUAAUGCUUCUUUGACUGUGCCUCCUGAAGGUAGGAAUGACAAAAGGCGUAAGAUUCCUGUAGAUGCAAGUUUGAAGAAACCUCAAAAAGAAAACCAUCUUGAUAAGCAAUCUAGUGUUGUAGAAUCUAUUGAUGAUAUUCCCUUUGCUGAUGAAAGCGAUAGUGAUGCUCUGACAACUAUCAGCAUCAGCUCAGUGGAACAGUUCCCUGGAACUCUCAUAAAAUCAAAGCCGGUCCGCCGGGUAUCCCAUUCUGCAUUUAAGAAAAGGAUAUUGCCAGCGGCUCCGAAAAAGGAACCAGCUUCCCCCAUUGUACCAACUAAUUCAACAAAACCACCAGAACCAAAGAAAAAGGAAAGAGUAAUCUCUCUCACCAAGAUGAUUCCUACCAACAAACGAGACAGUUACAACCAAGACAUUCCAGCGUCGGUGUUAUUGUCUACGCCUUACACCACAUCUCCCUUCUGGAAGAUGUCACCCACUCCAAAUACACCCAUUCCGAGUACCUAUUCAGACCAAACCCCUGUUAAGCAGCAAUCCCUAACAACAAACCAGUCUGCAUUCAGUCCAAAAGUUCCCAGCCCCACACCAAAACCCUUCCUAAGUUGGUCACAAUCUACAAGCACUAAGAAACCUGAAAAGCCUAAAGAAGGGACUCAGUCAGAAGGUUCUUCAACUGCAUCCACCCCAAAGAAAGAAAAGAAACGGUCCUUAUUGUCUAUGUUCUUGCCAAGUAAGUCUCGUAAUAAGAGUACCAGCAGUGGUUCUGAAAGCUCUGACAAGCAAAAAACUCCAACAUCAAGUAAAGAGAAGAAACUAGGGCAAAAACCCAGCAAAACUGUAAAUGAUAAAAAAGACAAAGGAAUAAAACAUACUGAUUCUAAAGAUCUAGAUUUUGAUCUUAGCAGGGACAUGACAGACCUUAGUAUAAAAUCUGUUUUCCAUGUAAAAGACCGGCCACAUAUUACACCAGAGCAAAAACUGCGCAUUUUGGAAAGUGGGCUCAAAGCAAUAAUUCCACCAAGAGGAGAUGAUGAGUUCUCGGAUUCUGGAGAAAGCUUUUUAUCAACUGAUACAUCUGUAUCAAGAAGAUCAAAAUUGAGCGAUCCGAAAAAGAUCCAGCAAGCUGCUCGGAAGCAACAGAAACGCCAGCAACAACAAAGACUGCGCAGGGCUCAGGAAAUACAACGGCGGUUAGAAGAAGUAGAUGUGCAACAGAAAGAAUUGGAAGACAGAGGCGUUAUUGUUGAAAAAGCUUUGCGGGGCGAAGGUCUUGAGUAUGGAAUCAUCAAUAUAUGUCUGGCAUGUGCCUUUACUCCACUGCAAGGAAGAGGAAUCAACCAGAUUUCAACCCUUCUCAAAGGACAACAAAAAGCUGGUCGAAACGAGGGUGAACUCAUGCAGGAAUGGUUCAAUCUUGUACACGAGAAGAACGUUUUACUUCGUUAUGAAUCUGAACUUAUGGUGCAAGCUAAAGAAUUAGAGUUAGAAGAUCGGCAGGCACGUCUUGAAACUGAGUUAAGGAACAAAAUGACAACAGAUGAUGUUUCCCCUACUUGUGGUCACAGAAAUGUCCCAAAUGUGUCUCAGAAUACAGAAGAGGGAGAAGAGUAAAACCUCAGAUCAGGUUGAAGCUGAGAAACGAAUUCUUGCUGAACUGCUUGAAGUUGUCGAAGAACGUGAUGCCUUAGUGUCAAUGCUUGAGGAGGACCGACUCAGAGAGCGAGAAGAAGACCGAGAUUUAGAAGGCAUAA
This 8568-nucleotide unclassified non-coding RNA is filed under the name Octopus sinensis (East Asian common octopus). RNAcentral describes it as "f-actin-monooxygenase MICAL3, transcript variant X2". The record is from RNAcentral. Lineage: Eukaryota; Metazoa; Mollusca; Cephalopoda; Octopoda; Octopodidae.